Panicum hallii is the source of this 1747-nucleotide RNA transcript. RefSeq lists it as uncharacterized. NCBI's taxonomy places the organism in Eukaryota, Viridiplantae, Streptophyta, Magnoliopsida, Poales, Poaceae. The record is from RefSeq and is a predicted model, not a curated record. The transcript is spliced from 3 exons.
CCUCUUCCCGACCCCCGAGCCUCCCACCUCGACGCCGCCCUCACCCUCGCUCGGGCCUCGCCCAUGCGCCGCCCUCAUCCGCGCGACGGCCUCCACCUCGCGACGGACCGCCGCCCUCCUCGAUUCGUGUCCCCUCGGCCCUCGCGCAACACCUUCCUCUUCCGUGAGCCACCCAAUCCGGUCCUGCGUGCGACGCCCCUGCCCAUGAUGCGCCGCCCACCCCUCCCCGUCGGUCGCUCGCUCCUCCCCAUCGGCCACCCGCCGCUACAUCUCUCUCUAUCUGUGCUCGGCGGCUGGCGCAGCCCGCCUCCCGCUCCUCUCCCCUUCCGUGUCCGAGGCGCGCUGUCCGCAUCAUCUACGACCGGGACUAAUUCGUCCGUCUUGCCGAAGUGCCAAACGGAACCGCCCGUUCACCCUAGCUCCAUCCGGCCUCCAGUGCGAUCGUCGCCUCCAUCCAUCCCACCCGCAGUCAGAGCCACCAACACUGAGCAGUUGUCCGUCCUCCUGCCCUCGCUCCAUCUCCAACCUCCGAUCUGAUGCGGCUGCUUAGGGCCGAGCGCCCGUGCCCACCAAGCAUGCCCCACGCCGCAGCCCUCCGAUUCACUCCCUUCCACCACUGCUUGUUCCGACGCCUCUCCCUCUCUGGGAUCAAAUUGGUGGAGGCAAUAAGAUCGAGCCUGCGGCCAGCCAGCCUGGUGCUGCUCGAUGACUACUGGCCGGUCAACCAGUAUGUUUUGCCAGGUGAUGUUCUGUUCCCUAGCGAUGUUCUGUGUUUGAAGCAAUGUGUUAGAGGAGUUGUCACUCUGAGUGAACCCAAUGAAGCUCUGGUUCCAAUAUCCCCUUACCACGUAAAUGUUCCUUUACCAUCUUCUAGUUGCAGAAAUAAAUAAAUUCGAUCUGAUUAUUGACUGAUUCUUGUUUUUUUUUCUUUCUUGUGUCAUGCGCUCCUGUAAUCAUGUUGGCGUCCUAAAUUGGUCGGAGAAGCGAUACUGCUCCCGACUCGAUGCAUCAAUAGGUCACUGGCACUGAUGAAUCUUUCCAUCGUGGGACCUGCUAUCUCUGGUUGAGCUGCAUCCAGAAACUGAAGAUUCAUUCACAUGGAAAGUGGACAGCUAAUAGGCAAUGCACGGCAAAGUCAGCUUAUCUUGCCCGACACCAAGGUUCAAUCAGAUUGCAUGGGACUGACCUCAUUUGCAAAACAUGGGCUCCUCUUUUGGGUUAAAAUGUUUCUUUAGCUCACUUUCAGAAGACAUCAUUGGACUGCGGACUGGUGGAUACGGCAUGGCUUACAAGCUUCAGAGACCUGCAGACUUUGUAAUCAGUAAGCCGAAUCUUCUGACCACAUUAUGCUCAGGUGUUCUUUAUCUGUACAGAUUUGGUGGGCAAUAUUAUCUAGACUGGGCUUCAAGAACAUCAGACGCAUGGUGUGAGUUUGUUAUUACAAGAUUGGUGGAUCAACCUGUGGGUGCAUUUACUGGCAGGAAAAUGAAAAGGUCUUGAUUCUCUGAUCGCUCUGGUCACCUGGAAUUUGUAGAAGGAAAGGAAUGCACAGAUCUUAUGGAAUGAUGAGGCGAUAGUGCAGCAACACAUAUGGAUUGUUUGUUUUCUGAAUAAUAACAGAAUAAGCAGAGUAGCUGAAGUUCUCUAGGUUUAUUUAUUGAUGUAUAUACAUGCUAGGUCUGUGUUGCGUUGCAUGUCAUGUAAUAAAACUAUUUGCUUUUUUUCUUAAUAUAAAGAUGCACAGCUC